RNAcentral lists this ribosomal RNA (204 nucleotides) under Staphylococcus saprophyticus. RNAcentral's name for it is "partial 16S ribosomal RNA". It matches the Rfam family "Bacterial small subunit ribosomal RNA", at positions 327 to 523 of the family's 1533-position model. The record is from RNAcentral. Lineage: Bacteria; Bacillati; Bacillota; Bacilli; Caryophanales; Staphylococcaceae.
CGGUCCAGACUCCUACGGGAGGCAGCAGUAGGGAAUCUUCCGCAAUGGGCGAAAGCCUGACGGAGCAACGCCGCGUGAGUGAUGAAGGGUUUCGGCUCGUAAAACUCUGUUAUUAGGGAAGAACAAAUGUGUAAGUAACUGUGCACGUCUUGACGGUACCUAAUCAGAAAGCCACGGCUAACUACGUGCCAGCAGCCGCGGUAA